Gadus morhua (Atlantic cod) is the source of this 328-nucleotide long non-coding RNA. The record is from Ensembl. Lineage: Eukaryota; Metazoa; Chordata; Actinopteri; Gadiformes; Gadidae.
GAAUUGCUGGCCAUACACUGUAAACCUUUCUACUCGCCUAUAGGAAAUAUCUUCCAUAAUCCUCGCGUGCGUCUACGUUCAGCCAGAGCUGCGACACUUCCAUUGGACUCCGUUGUAGCGCCUACUUCCGGGGUAUGGAGCCUCGAAUAGUUCCAAACAACCAUUUUACGGCGUAGGAGACCGUUCAUUUCCAUUGCUGGCCGCCGAGUAACUUCUGAGGGUGAUGUUCAGCACAUGAAGCCCUACAGAUGCCGCCGAUUCAACAAUGCUGAUUAUGAUGGGCGGUGAAUUUAACCUUUGCCUUAUUAGGUCCUCCACAGUCGCCCCA